This 1181-nucleotide long non-coding RNA is filed under the name Strigops habroptila (Kakapo). Its description in RNAcentral is "lncRNA (ENSSHBG00005009465.1)". The record is from RNAcentral. Lineage: Eukaryota; Metazoa; Chordata; Aves; Psittaciformes; Psittacidae.
UUUGUUUUGAAUGUUGGCUUAUUUAGGUGAAAUAAGUCCAUUCUGAGCAUGUGCCGUGUUAAAUGACCUUCUUCCUGGUUUUUACUGAUGGAAUAGACUUCUGUUGACAAAAGAAGUUAAUGAGAAACCUCUGUGUAAGCCCCAGCUAUACUGCUUCCUUGCCCCGGUUUCAUCCUUCUCUUCCUUCAGCAACAGCAUGAAAGCUUCUUAGUCUGCUGGAAACCAGCACAGCAGCUAUUAUAAACUAUGGGCUAGGGUCGCAAGCAUUGAACUAGGGCAGUUUAAAGAUGCAACAUGUUUAUGAAUUAAAUAUCCAUUUCAAAGUGGAUUUCAGUGCUGGGUUGUAACUAUCUAUAAUAAUGUUCUAAUUAUUCACCUUUAAUUGAGAAACAACAUGUGCCUGGGCUCAAGCUCUCUGUUCACACAUUUGAAGCAAAGAGUGUAGCUGCAGAACUGGCUGGAGAGGGAUGCUGCAGUUGCAUGCCUGGAGUGUCCAGCCAUCCUUAGAAUAUGGCCUGAGCAGCCAAGCAGGCUGAGACAGGCCAUCCUUCUGACCUAGUAUUCCUGCAGGAGGGAAACGGAGGUGUCAAAGGCAACAAAGAUUGAAAUCAUUGGGAGGACUGGGAGAGUGUUAAGACAGCUUCAAGAACCUGCCACAGAAAGGAGAGAUUGGCAGGGAUGCAAGCAGGACACCAGAAAGGGCCAAGAAAUCGUCAUGAAAGUCAUAGCUGCCACAUGGGGCCUGGAAAACAUCCCCAUUAAAUCCGCUUUCUGUAUGGUCUGAGCGAUAACACAGGUUGUAUGGAAAGUUUUAAGUUAUAGGAAAUUAUUUUGUCCCAGUUUGAGUUUUGGCUUUCCUUCUUAUGCACAAAUGCUGUAACUUGGCAUGCUAAGUACACAUUUCCAUCGUCCUUUUUCUUGUUUUACAUCAAACUAAAUGCAAGUUCAUAUACCCUGGCAAGCACUGGGACUGUUGCAAGAAGGGGAGGGGAAGGCAGAGAGGGUGCAAAGUCACUGUGAUUUACAUGCAGUGCUGGAUUUCUUAAUGUCAUUUCUGACUUGCUUCAUUAAUUUAUUUGGAAACACCUUCAGCUGAUUAGAGCUUAUAAAUCUCAAACUCCCAUCCCCUUUGAUGUCUAUAAAUAAUAUGUGCAAAUGUCCCAAUAAAGGAAGCAGUAAGC